RNAcentral lists this ribosomal RNA (443 nucleotides) under uncultured bacterium. RNAcentral's name for it is "partial 16S ribosomal RNA". It matches the Rfam family "Bacterial small subunit ribosomal RNA", at positions 338 to 795 of the family's 1533-position model. The record is from RNAcentral.
CCUACGGUUGGCAGCAGUGGGGAAUAUUGGGCAAUGGGCGCAAGCCUGACCCAGCAACGCCGCGUGAAGGAAGAAUGCUUUCGGGUUGUAAACUUCUUUUCUCAGGGACGAAGAAAGUGACGGUACCUGAGGAAUAAGCCACGGCUAACUACGUGCAAGCAGCCGCGGUAAUACGUAGGUGGCAAGCGUUAUCCGGAUUUACUGGGUGUAAAGGGAGUGUAGGCGGGAAAGCAAGUCAGAUGUGAAAACCAUGGGCUCAACCUGUGGCCUGCAUUUGAAACUGUUUUUCUUGAGUACUGGGGAGGCAGACGGAAUUCCUAGUGUAGCGGUGAAAUGCGUAGAUAUUAGGAGGAACACCAGUGGCGAAGGCGGUCUGCUGGACAGCAACUGACGCUGAGGCGCGAAAGCGUGGGGAGCAAACAGGAUUAGAUACCCUAGUAGUC